UAGCUUAUUAAAAGCAUUUCGCUUACACCGAAAAAAAGUCAACUAACUCAGACUACUUUGA
RNAcentral lists this transfer RNA (61 nucleotides) under Ischnocnema sambaqui. RNAcentral's name for it is "tRNA-Val". The record is from RNAcentral. Lineage: Eukaryota; Metazoa; Chordata; Amphibia; Anura; Brachycephalidae.